GUAGCGCUUCGUUCGGCGAGGCUCCUGCGUGAACACAGUCCGCUCAUCCCACGACGUCGAGAGACGCCCAGGCUGAGGACAGGCCUUCCCGGCUUAAGGGUCGGCCCCAAGCGGAUUCCGAACUCUUCGGAUACGUCACGCAGUGCCAAAGCUCUGACGUGGGGGUGUUUG
Molecule: regulatory RNA element, 171 nt
Organism: Leucobacter sp. Ag1
Lineage: Bacteria; Bacillati; Actinomycetota; Actinomycetes; Micrococcales; Microbacteriaceae
Rfam family: M-box riboswitch aptamer (ykoK leader)
About the family: M-box riboswitch, also know as ykoK leader is described as a metaloregulatory RNA that sense divalent metals and function as a genetic control element of genes related to divalent metal transport in bacteria. It was first reported upstream of the B.subtilis ykoK gene and genes with related functions in other bacteria.
Source: Rfam